UCAAUGUUGGCCUAAACUGUCUGAGGAGGGAGAUGUUACAAAUACUAUGAGUAGAAUACAAGCAGCAGAGCAAAAGCGCAACACCACCACCAACACCAGCAGCAGCAGCACCAGUCCAACCGUAAGCCAGUUAGUACGAGACUAGUACGUUUGGGGAGCAUUAAAUAAAACACAUAGAAAACAGAUGCGAAUUUUGUUGAAGCCGUAAAACCAGUUAGUUGGAUGGAUGGUUGGUUGGUUGGAUUGUUAGUUGUUGAAUUAUUCUGUUUUUCUUUUUCGCUUUUGUUUUUUGGCCCAGCUUGAUUGUGACGACUGACUCUAUAGACUAGACAAACAACAAAUCAGUUGAGCUUUUGCAAACGACUACGGAAGGUGUAUUUCAGUCAAUUUGGUUUUGCGUGCGCGUGUGUAAUUUCUUUCCACAUUUAAUUAAUAACAAACAACAAAGUUUUGUUAUAAUUUUAAAAAAAUUAUUAAGUAAAUAAAAAUAAAUAAAAGUAAUAAAAAGUUUUUAUGAUAAAAAUUAAAAAAAACUUGUUUUAUUUUCACUUAAAAAAAAAACUUGAAAAAAUUGUUUUUUUAAAAAAAGCAAAGAAUUUGAAAUUUUGCAUGAUUCGAUUUCAAAAAUAAACCUCAACUACAAACAAAUUGCUUAUUUAAGUGAAAUUUUUAGUAAUUUGUUUUUGUUCUGUUUUGAGAAAAAAAUUGUUUGUUUUUUAAAAAAAAUUUUAAAAAUAAUAACAAACAAUCAACAGCCUUGAAAACUGCUGCUGUUGCAAGUAAAAUUUAAAAAAAGAAAGAAAAUCAUAAAAAAAAAUUACUACUAAAACAACAACCACUAAAAAGUGAAGCUUCAAUAAAAAAAUAACUUGAAACUCAAAAGAAGAAUCUGAAAAAAGUAAAACAACUAAAACAACAACGAAAGAAAAAGAAGUAAAACAAUACCCUCAUUUCUUCAAGUGACUGACUGCAUUAACAAACAACGACCGAAACCUUGUGUCUUGUGAAAUGUAUCUUACGGAUGCACAUGACAAUUUUUUUGUUUUUAACAAAUACACAUUGUUGUUGUUGUUGCCUUUAAGCUACUAAUGCUGUCGCUAUAACGCUGCUAAUGUGUUUUCAUAAUUAGUUACAAAAAUAAAUUGCAAAAAAUAAACAAAAAGAGUUGAAAACAAAAAUUACAACUAAAGAAAAUAACAAACUAAUUUUUUACAACAACAAUUAAAACAACACUUUUUGUUAAAGAAUUUGUGCAAUUUUAUUCUUCAAACCUUUAAUUAAAAAAAAUUAUUUGAAUUGUGUUCAUAUUUUUUGAUUUUGUGUUGUUUUUUUGAGUUCUGCUUCGAAAGUGAAUUUGGAUUUUUUUUGUUUGGUUUCACUUCAUUUGAUUUGCAUAAUUUAUUAAUAUUAUUUCUUUAUUAAUAAAUAAGCAUUGUUUGUGUUGAUAUCUUAUAAUUUAUGCUUAAAACCUAUACUAUAAAAGUAGUUCUAACAAAAAAAUUUUUUAAAAAAUUUCUUUUCGAUUUAAAAGAAAUUUCUUUUAAGAAUUUUAUUUAUUGGCCACAAAAAAGAAAAUAAUUUAUGUUUGUUUUUGUGCUUUAACAUUGUCUAGUAGUAGAAAUUUAUCAAAAUAUUUUGCAUUAAAAAAGUGUGGUGCAUUUUAUGGAAUCAGCAGAACGUGUUUGAGAAGUAGAUUCAGUUUGAUACCGAAAAAAGCUUGAUUGCUCUCUUUUUAUCGGGAUUCUUGCGAUUUAAAAUAAACCAGCAUAAAGGUAAGU
Long non-coding RNA from Lucilia sericata (common green bottle fly), 1778 nucleotides. RefSeq lists it as uncharacterized. The record is from RefSeq and is a predicted model, not a curated record. The transcript is spliced from 3 exons. NCBI's taxonomy places the organism in Eukaryota, Metazoa, Arthropoda, Insecta, Diptera, Calliphoridae.